UCUUCUUUUAAACUUGAUUUCGAACUGUAACUUACUAAUGUUUGGUAAUGCCCUGCCUUUACUUGACUGUUGUGUUUAAACUGGUAGCCACACACUUGCUUAGGCUUACCUCAGUUUCCAUAUGAACUGGACAAUUCAACUAAAGUUAGCUCUUCAAAUAUUGAACAGUGAUUAAUAUUUUCUUGGAAGAUCUUUCAAUGUUUCCAAAUGAACUGGGAGUUAUCAAUGUGCUGUAACCAAUCGUCUUAUCCAUACAAGUGUUGGAAAUCUGCAUCAAUUCAUCACGGACAGUAUACCCAUACUUCAAGCAAGCCUACCUUGACUAUUUCCUGGAGCCAACUUGAACACCACUAUCAUGUUGAAACCCUAGGAAUCAGCCAUCAACACCAGCUACAAUAACAAUAAUCGACAUCGAUUGUGAAGAUGAACCUCUCGAAUAGAUAAGAAUAUAAUAGUAGUGACAGAAAAGAUCAUAAAACGUGUCUACAUGUUCAAUUUACUGAUAUCAUAAACAAUAAAUUAGUAAUUGAUUAU
Nilaparvata lugens (brown planthopper) is the source of this 534-nucleotide long non-coding RNA. RefSeq lists it as uncharacterized. NCBI's taxonomy places the organism in Eukaryota, Metazoa, Arthropoda, Insecta, Hemiptera, Delphacidae. The record is from RefSeq and is a predicted model, not a curated record. The transcript has 2 exons.